CAGUCGCCGCGGGAAUACGUAGGUCCCGAGCGUUGUCCGGAUUUAUUGGGCGCAAAGCGAGCGCAGGCGGUUAGAUAAGUCUGAAGUUAAAGGCUGUGGCUUAACCAUAGUACGCUUUGGAAACUGUUUAACUUGAGUGCAAGAGGGGAGAGUGGAAUUCCAUGUGUAGCGGUGAAAUGCGUAGAUAUAUGGAGGAACACCGGUGGCGAAAGCGGCUCUCUGGCUUGUAACUGACGCUGAGGCUCGAAAGCGUGGGGAGCAAACAGGAUUAGAUACCCCCGUAGUCCCUGUCUCUUAUACC
RNAcentral lists this ribosomal RNA (301 nucleotides) under uncultured bacterium. RNAcentral's name for it is "partial 16S ribosomal RNA". It matches the Rfam family "Bacterial small subunit ribosomal RNA", at positions 509 to 808 of the family's 1533-position model. The record is from RNAcentral.